This 1269-nucleotide ribosomal RNA is filed under the name Escherichia coli K1. RNAcentral's name for it is "bacterial LSU rRNA". It matches the Rfam family "Bacterial large subunit ribosomal RNA", at positions 1681 to 2925 of the family's 2925-position model. The record is from RNAcentral. Lineage: Bacteria; Pseudomonadati; Pseudomonadota; Gammaproteobacteria; Enterobacterales; Enterobacteriaceae.
CCAAGGCGCUUGAGAGAACUCGGGUGAAGGAACUAGGCAAAAUGGUGCCGUAACUUCGGGAGAAGGCACGCUGAUAUGUAGGUGAAGCGACUUGCUCGUGGAGCUGAAAUCAGUCGAAGAUACCAGCUGGCUGCAACUGUUUAUUAAAAACACAGCACUGUGCAAACACGAAAGUGGACGUAUACGGUGUGACGCCUGCCCGGUGCCGGAAGGUUAAUUGAUGGGGUUAGCGGUAACGCGAAGCUCUUGAUCGAAGCCCCGGUAAACGGCGGCCGUAACUAUAACGGUCCUAAGGUAGCGAAAUUCCUUGUCGGGUAAGUUCCGACCUGCACGAAUGGCGUAAUGAUGGCCAGGCUGUCUCCACCCGAGACUCAGUGAAAUUGAACUCGCUGUGAAGAUGCAGUGUACCCGCGGCAAGACGGAAAGACCCCGUGAACCUUUACUAUAGCUUGACACUGAACAUUGAGCCUUGAUGUGUAGGAUAGGUGGGAGGCUUUGAAGUGUGGACGCCAGUCUGCAUGGAGCCGACCUUGAAAUACCACCCUUUAAUGUUUGAUGUUCUAACGUUGGCCCGUAAUCCGGGUUGCGGACAGUGUCUGGUGGGUAGUUUGACUGGGGCGGUCUCCUCCUAAAGAGUAACGGAGGAGCACGAAGGUUGGCUAAUCCUGGUCGGACAUCAGGAGGUUAGUGCAAUGGCAUAAGCCAGCUUGACUGCGAGCGUGACGGCGCGAGCAGGUGCGAAAGCAGGUCAUAGUGAUCCGGUGGUUCUGAAUGGAAGGGCCAUCGCUCAACGGAUAAAAGGUACUCCGGGGAUAACAGGCUGAUACCGCCCAAGAGUUCAUAUCGACGGCGGUGUUUGGCACCUCGAUGUCGGCUCAUCACAUCCUGGGGCUGAAGUAGGUCCCAAGGGUAUGGCUGUUCGCCAUUUAAAGUGGUACGCGAGCUGGGUUUAGAACGUCGUGAGACAGUUCGGUCCCUAUCUGCCGUGGGCGCUGGAGAACUGAGGGGGGCUGCUCCUAGUACGAGAGGACCGGAGUGGACGCAUCACUGGUGUUCGGGUUGUCAUGCCAAUGGCACUGCCCGGUAGCUAAAUGCGGAAGAGAUAAGUGCUGAAAGCAUCUAAGCACGAAACUUGCCCCGAGAUGAGUUCUCCCUGACUCCUUGAGAGUCCUGAAGGAACGUUGAAGACGACGACGUUGAUAGGCCGGGUGUGUAAGCGCAGCGAUGCGUUGAGCUAACCGGUACUAAUGAACCGUGAGGCUUAACCUU